This 468-nucleotide ribosomal RNA is filed under the name uncultured bacterium. RNAcentral's name for it is "partial 16S ribosomal RNA". It matches the Rfam family "Bacterial small subunit ribosomal RNA", at positions 28 to 507 of the family's 1533-position model. The record is from RNAcentral.
GACGAACGCUGGCGGCGUGCUUAACACUUGCGAGUCGAACGGAAAGGCCCUGCUUUUGUGGGGUGCUCGAGUGGCGAACGGGUGAGUAACACGUGAGUAACCUGCCCUUGACUUUGGGAUAACUUCAGGAAACUGGGGCUAAUACCGGAUAGGAGCUCCUGCUGCAUGGUGGGGGUUGGAAAGUUUCGGCGGUUGGGGAUGGACUCGCGGCUUAUCAGCUUGUUGGUGGGGUAGUGGCUUACCAAGGCCUUGACGGGUAGCAGGCCUGAGAGGGUGACCGGCCACAUUGGGACUGAGAUACGGCCCAGACUCCUACGGGAGGCAGCAGUGGGGAAUAUUGCACAAUGGGCGGAAGCCUGAUGCAGCAACGCCGCGUGCGGGAUGACGGCCUUCGGGUUGUAAACCGCUUUCGCCUGUGACGAAGCGUGAGUGACGGUAAUGGGUAAAGAAGCACCGGCUAACUACGUG